GACGAACGCUGGCGGCGUGCUUAACACAUGCAAGUCACGGGGGCCCGCAAGGGCAACCGGCGAACGGGUGCGUAACACGUGAGCAAGCUUCCGAUUUGUGGGGGAUAGCCGGCCUAACGGCCGGGUAAUACCGCAUACGUUCACCGGACGGCAUCGUCUGGUGAGGAAACCUCCGGGGCAAAUCGAGGCGCUCGCGGCCUAUCAGCUAGUUGGCGGGGUAACGGCCCACCAAGGCGACGACGGGUAGCUGGUCUGAGAGGAUGGCCAGCCACAUUGGGACUGCGACACGGCCCAGACUCCUACGGGAGGCAGCAGUGGGGAAUAUUGCGCAAUGGACGAAAGUCUGACGCAGCGACGCCGCGUGUGGGAUGACGCCUUUCGGGGUGUAAACCACUGUUGCCCGGGACGAAACUCCUUUUUCGAGAGGAUUGACGGUACCGGGUGAGGAAGCACCGGCUAACUCUGUGCCAGCAGCCGCGGUAAUACAGAGGGUGCGAGCGUUGUCCGGAAUCACUGGAC
This 519-nucleotide ribosomal RNA is filed under the name uncultured bacterium. Its description in RNAcentral is "bacterial SSU rRNA". It matches the Rfam family "Bacterial small subunit ribosomal RNA", at positions 28 to 559 of the family's 1533-position model. The record is from RNAcentral.